AAAAAGAAUGCUUGAUGUGCAUGAUGCAUGCAAUGUGUGAUUGUUUGUUCAUGAUGUGUAUGCAAUGCAAAUUAUUAGGUAGCAAUAGUGAGGUUUUUUUGGUGAAAGGUAGACUUUGACUCGUCAGUGUCCAAACCAGAGAACCUGCAAAGAAAAACUUCUAACUGUUGUUGUUUCUUAGGACAUUCCAACUGGAUAAGGACUUCCACCUCGCUCUAUUUGGGGAAAAUAUACUUGAUCCAACCAAGCAGUCUUGUAAUCGUGCGACAAAUGCUUAUUGUAGGCCAUUGAUCAUCCACUGGGAGCUUUUCAGUAAUCAAAGUAAUGCACAAGUGUUUCUUUAGAUUUAGCUUUUAUUAUUCUCAAUGUUUUAUAAGAUUAUGCAAUCAAGAUAGGUAGUUAUUUUUCAAACAAAAUGCGGUAAAAUAAAAAGAAGUAACUGAAUAAUGACCGAAUUUUAUUGAUUUUGAAAAUUUUGUACAUAUGAAGGUGUGUACAAGGAAGCAAAAAUCCUUAAAGAGGAGAUUUCAAAAAUUGAAAACAAAGUAAAUGGCAAUGGGAAAUUUGUUUGAUUUUCCACUUAUUACAACAUUGGCUAUUAUUCAUUGUAGCACUGAGCUCCAACAUUUUGCUUCUAUUAACGAUGAUUUGACUGAUCUGAUAUCGUCCGAGGUCAAGCUUAUGGUAAGAUAGGCUCAAGAGAUAUAGCCAAAUGCCUUUAUCUCUAAAUUUUGCAUGGAAUUUUU
Molecule: long non-coding RNA, 746 nt
Filed under: Lathyrus oleraceus (garden pea)
Lineage: Eukaryota; Viridiplantae; Streptophyta; Magnoliopsida; Fabales; Fabaceae
Description: Pisum sativum (pea) long non-coding RNA (PSAT_LNC010936)
Source: RNAcentral